This 2319-nucleotide long non-coding RNA is filed under the name Mus musculus (house mouse). RNAcentral's name for it is "long non-coding RNA chr8:35385811-35388130". The record is from RNAcentral. Lineage: Eukaryota; Metazoa; Chordata; Mammalia; Rodentia; Muridae.
UCCAGACUGUGCUUAGAUAUAUAUUCAUAUUCAGGAUGCUUUAUGAACCCCCAAGGACAUUGAUCGGGUGUUUUUAUUUAUGGUGUGUAUUAUAAAAAGAUAGGGGAGAAAAACCUCACGUUUUUCUAUGUUAUUUUAAAUGUUUGUCAACUCUGAGGUAUCAGAUGAAGUUUUCUUAACCAUAUUGGAGUGCAAUGCGCUUUCAUACGCUAGCGUGAGACUCCUGGAGUUCUUACCCUUGGGUGAACCCCCAAACCCUGUGAUUUUUCUCUAGGGCAAAUUAGAAUUAUAGGGGAGAUUUUUUUAAAUGCGAGUUUGUAGAAUUAGGGGUGUUGUUUUGUUUUGGAAGUUUGAUAAAAGAUGCCUGUUUCAUUUCCUUACUGAAGUGAUGUUUCCCUGAGACAAGACAGAAAGGAGCAGAGUCUCAUGGUUUCGGAGGUGGGGGCCACUGGACGUAGCCCUGUGCCCUCUGGCUUUAUAAGUUAGCAUCAGGCAGACAUCAAAUGUUUUUAAUCCUAGCAUGUGUGGUUUAUUUUUUAUCUUAACUUUUUCACUUUUGAAGAUUCAAAUGUUUUGACUUUUUAAAUGUUAUUUUCUAUGAUUUCUUAUUCCUAAAACUGGUACUAGUCUGUAAUCUGUGCUUUGUAUAUUGUGCCUCUCCCAGAUGGGUGGCGAUCUGGGAUUGCAUGCUGAUUAUCUGUGAGGAAAUCAUCUUUGUGCCAUGAGGCUGAAGCUGGGGCCAGGAGUUUGUGUUUUAUCUAAGCAGGCCAUGUAUCUCCUAGAUGGGUGUACUUUAAAUGUUCCGGAUUUGUUGACCAGAGCAGCUAGGUUGAAAUUGGAUAGAAAGCAAAACUGCUCUCUAUGGGUCAUGCAUUGUGUGUUAAGAAGGAAGGCAGCCAAGGGCACUGUUUCUUACAUAGAUGCAGACUAAAGAUCAUAAAAUGGCUGGGGGCGGGGGCGAGGUACGGAAUGGAAUCUGUUCAGUGGUAUGGAUGAUCUUCAGACAUUCCGAGUCAAAAUAUAAAAUAUGGUAAUUCCAUGUUAUAUGUCCCUCCUAAAGCAGACAUACCCUCACCCCCUUUUGCCCAGAUUUGCCCCAGCUUUCUUGCUCACGAGCACUGCUUGAAAGCCCCCCAGCCAGCACACCUGGGGUGCACACCCACUGCUCAGCUCCAGGGGCAUGUUGUGCCUUUGCCUGCUCACCAGGACCCUUCCCUUGAAGCAGUCCGUGGGCUGUGCUUGACUUCCUUAUCAAGGCUGUCACUCAGAGACAGAAGAGUCUUCCUUCUGCUUUCUGCCUCCAAUACAGCCCUCCUUCUUUUGACCCAGUCUGUCCCAUGACUCUGAGAUAGCCUCGGGAGCUGCAUUUAGAAACUCUAUGCAUUGUUCAGAGUUCACCACUGUAGACAAAUUUACGCAGCUCAGAAGACGACAGGCCCCUUGCUUGAAGAUCCCACGGCAAGUUUGACCUGGAGGUCUGUCUUCAUGCAGUUCUUGGCUAGGAUGAUGGAUGGAUCCUAAUCCCCAGACAUUGUGAUCCAGGAAGGGAAGGCAACCCCAUUCUUUGUUCCAUAUUUAUUUCCCCAAAUUCCCUGGGGUGCUUUGGCAAAAUGGGUACAAUAAAUAAGCUAGACCAUAAGACAUGUUUCUUGUAAGAAGCCGUUUGAGUGUUGUAAGAAUAUUUUCUCUAGAAAGCUAGGAAGGCAUAAUGGAAGUCUGUAGUUCUGCAGAAACUAAAGCAACUUGAGUCAAUGGUGGGAGUUAUUUUAUCCCUGAGAUGUAAGCUUGGUGGCUCCUGAUUCUGGGAAAUCUGCACUCAGCCGCAUCUCCUGGCAUGAUCACAGAAACUGCAGAUAAGAUGUUCCCGAAAUUCUGGGAUCUUACCUCUAACGGGAUCGUCCAGAGUCACUCAAAGACAUUUCUCUUGCUGAGGUUCUGUGAGAUGCCUCCAGCUCCAUCAGCAAAGCUGUGAGUGUUUCCACGGUUUUGCUGCAGUUCCCAGAGGCCCCUGGGGCACGUGGACUUCUAGAGUGCACACGUGAUGAUGUUACACUUUUGCUUUAAUGUGAACAUUCAACUGACGGGCUUGUCGUCAUUGUAUGCCUACAUGUGCCUUGUUCAGAAACUUCUGCAUGUUUGUAAGACAUAUUUUUGUAUACAUUGGUAGAGGGGAAAUGCACUUUAAAAAAAAUCACAAGAAUGGAUGUGUGUGUGUGUGUGUGUGUGUGUGUGUGUGUGUGUGUGUGUGUGUGUGUGUGUGUGGUGGAAGAGAAUGAUUUCUUUGUAUCUCAAAAGCAAAAACGUAAUAAAUAUAGAAAG